Non-coding RNA from Taeniopygia guttata (zebra finch), 668 nucleotides. NCBI's taxonomy places the organism in Eukaryota, Metazoa, Chordata, Aves, Passeriformes, Estrildidae. The record is from RefSeq and is a predicted model, not a curated record.
AGGGGACUGUCCCUGCUUUUAUGGGACUGAUCCUGGCUCUGCACCCCCCCAGAGAGCUGUGAUGAGCUGCAUGUCCUGAACACCACAUCAGCUCUGGCAAAUGCCAGUCCCUAGACUGGGACUGGAGAGGGUCCCUCUCUCCUGGGCAUCAAUUUGGCUCCUCUCACAUGGCAGCUCCUCAUUUGCACGGGCAGUGGCCGGGAGCUCGGCUCCAAGGGCAAGGACACGGGGACAGCACUGACCUGUCUUCACCGCCUUCCCUAGGCAUACAAAGGGGAAGUGUGGAGCUGGUGCUGAGAAGAAGUGAUGGGAGCAGCUGGGCAGCAUCGCUGACACCACAGAGAGCACCCCAGCACAGAGCUACUCAUACUGAUGAUGGCUCAUGGAUACAGCACUCGCCCAUUGCCACCCUCAGGCAGUACCUCAGAAGGACACGCAGGUGGGGACCCCCUACAGCACAUUCCUGCCGCUCUCACUGUCCCCUGCUGCACAGAGCUGGGGCCAGUUGCUAUCUGAGCUCGUGUGACAAUGCUGCCAAGGCUCCCGGUGGGGAUCCAGCUCUCAGUUAGUCUCUGCUCUGAAAGCCUCUGUGAAAUCACUGCGACGUUAGGCACUUCCUAAUAAAGCUGUCACAGACACCCCCAUUAUCUCCUGGCUCAGCCCCCUGC